UGACCUGCUUGGUUGAGUCCUAGAACGC
Molecule: non-coding RNA, 28 nt
Filed under: Mus musculus (house mouse)
Lineage: Eukaryota; Metazoa; Chordata; Mammalia; Rodentia; Muridae
Source: RNAcentral